This 254-nucleotide ribosomal RNA is filed under the name uncultured bacterium. RNAcentral's name for it is "partial 16S ribosomal RNA". It matches the Rfam family "Bacterial small subunit ribosomal RNA", at positions 524 to 776 of the family's 1533-position model. The record is from RNAcentral.
UACGUAGGGAGCAAGCGUUGUUCGGAUUUACUGGGCGUAAAGGGCGCGUAGGCGGCGCGGUAAGUCACUUGUGAAAUCUAUGAGCUUAACUCAGAACGGCCAAGUGAUACUGCAGUGCUAGAGUGCAGAAAGGGCAAUCGGAAUUCUUGGUGUAGCGGUGAAAUGCGUAGAUAUCAAGAGGAACACCUGAGGCGAAGGCGGGUUGCUAGGCUGACACUGACGCUGAGUGCGCGAAAGCCAGGGGAGCAAACAGG